GAUGAACGCUGGCGGCGUGCCUAAUACAUGCAAGUCGAGCGAACAGACGAGGAGCUUGCUCCUCUGACUUUAGCGGCGGACGGGUGAGUAACACGUGGAUAACCUACCUAUAUGACUGGGAUAACUUCGUGAAACCGGAGCUAAUACCGGAUAAUAUAUUGAACCGCAUGGUUCAAUAGUGAAAGACGGUUUUGCUUUCACUUAUAGAUGGAUCCGCGCCGCAUUAGCUAGUUGGUAAGGUAACGGCUUACCAAGGCAACGAUGCGUAGCCGACCUGAGAGGGUGAUCGGCCACACUGGAACUGAGACACGGUCCAGACUCCUACGGGAGGCAGCAGUAGGGAAUCUUGCGCAAUGGGCGAAAGCCUGACGGAGCAACGCCGCGUGAGUGAUGAAGGUCUUCGGAUCGUAAAACUCUGUUAGUAGGGAAGAACAAAUGAGUAAGUAACUAUGCACGUAUUGACGGUACCUAAUCAGAAAGCCACGGCUAACUCCGUG
Molecule: ribosomal RNA, 497 nt
Filed under: uncultured bacterium
Lineage: Bacteria
Description: partial 16S ribosomal RNA
Rfam family: Bacterial small subunit ribosomal RNA
Source: RNAcentral